Molecule: ribosomal RNA, 466 nt
Filed under: uncultured bacterium
Lineage: Bacteria
Description: partial 16S ribosomal RNA
Rfam family: Bacterial small subunit ribosomal RNA
Source: RNAcentral
GAUGAACGCUGGCGGCGUGCUUAACACAUGCAAGUCGAACGGAAAGGCCCAAGCUUGCUUGGGUACUCGAGUGGCGAACGGGUGAGUAACACGUGGGUGAUCUGCCCUGCACUUCGGGAUAAGCCUGGGAAACUGGGUCUAAUACCGGAUAGGACCACAUUUUGGAUGGUGUGGUGGAAAGUUUUUCGGUGUGGGAUGAGCUCGCGGCCUAUCAGCUUGUUGGUGGGGUAAUGGCCUACCAAGGCGUCGACGGGUAGCCGGCCUGAGAGGGUGUACGGCCACAUUGGGACUGAGAUACGGCCCAGACUCCUACGGGAGGCAGCAGUGGGGAAUAUUGCACAAUGGGCGCAAGCCUGAUGCAGCGACGCCGCGUGGGGGAUGACGGCCUUCGGGUUGUAAACUCCUUUCGCUAGGGACGAAGCGUUAUGUGACGAUACCUGGAGAAGAAGCACCGGCUAACUACGUG